GUAGGUGGCAAGCGUUGUCCGGAAUUAUUGGGCGUAAAGCGCGCGCAGGCGGUUCUUAAAGUCUGAUGUGAAAGCCCACGGCUCAACCGUGGAGGGUCAUUGGAAACUGGAGAACUUGAGUACAGAAGAGGAAAGCGGAAUUCCACGUGUAGCGGUGAAAUGCGUAGAGAUGUGGAGGAACACCAGUGGCGAAGGCGGCUUUCUGGUCUGUAACUGACGCUGAGGCGCGAAAGCGUGGGGAGCAAACAGGAUUAGAUACCCUGGUAGUCCACGCCGUAAACGAUGAGUGCUAAGUGUUAGGGGGUUUCCGCCCCCCUUAGUGCUGCAGCUAACGCAUUAAGCACUCCGCCUGGGAGUACGGCCGCAAGGCUG
Molecule: ribosomal RNA, 372 nt
Filed under: uncultured organism
Description: partial 16S ribosomal RNA
Rfam family: Bacterial small subunit ribosomal RNA
Source: RNAcentral